This is a non-coding RNA of Paenibacillus sp. Y412MC10, 184 nucleotides long. The record is from Rfam. NCBI's taxonomy places the organism in Bacteria, Bacillati, Bacillota, Bacilli, Caryophanales, Paenibacillaceae.
UUAAUCCUUCGGGGCAGGGUGAAAUUCCCUACCGGCGGUGAUGAACGCAGUGAUUGAGCUUAUCGAAGCAGAGUGCUGCGUCUUAGUCCGUGACCCGGAUAUGAAUGUGACGUUUCACAUCGUAUGCGGUGGACCUGGUGCAAAUCCGGGACCGACAGUAUAGUCUGGAUGGGAGAAGGAGUGA